This is a non-coding RNA of Schizosaccharomyces pombe (fission yeast), 381 nucleotides long. The record is from the annotation of a GenBank genome assembly. Lineage: Eukaryota; Fungi; Ascomycota; Schizosaccharomycetes; Schizosaccharomycetales; Schizosaccharomycetaceae.
AAUUUUUAUAUCAGUAUUUUCGUUAUUAAGCAUACUUAAACAUGUUUGCUCAAUUUGGCCAUAGAAUUUUGCUACCAAUUCACCUUGCCUUUCCAUAGUCUGAUAAAUAGCUUGGCCGAUCAAAAGUGUUUCAUCUACGGUAAAUUUAUUUGUGUUCGUAUACUCUUUAAGUAAACGAAUCAAUGAAUCAUCAUACUUAUCACACAGAGAAACCACUGCAGAUAUGACAUUCAAAUGCACGUAGCUAUUUUCAUCACGUAACAAGUUUAUUAAAACGUGCAAAACACGAACUGGAUUAAUACGAUCAUCUUUCUUCUCUAUUAGCUUCCUUAACAUAUAAACUCCUUGUCCUCUCACUGGCACCAAGUCACUUUGAGUAUA